UAGGGAAUUUUCGUCAAUGGGCGCAAGCCUGAACGAGCGAUGCCGCGUGAGUGAAGAAGGCCUUCGGGUCGUAAAGCUCUGUUGCGGGGGAAAAAAGGGCAGCAUCAGGAAAUGGGUGCUGACUGAUGGUGCCCCGCCAGAAAGUCACGGCUAACUACGUGCC
This 163-nucleotide ribosomal RNA is filed under the name uncultured bacterium. RNAcentral describes it as "partial 16S ribosomal RNA". It matches the Rfam family "Bacterial small subunit ribosomal RNA", at positions 355 to 509 of the family's 1533-position model. The record is from RNAcentral.